Molecule: ribosomal RNA, 440 nt
Filed under: uncultured Aeromonas sp.
Lineage: Bacteria; Pseudomonadati; Pseudomonadota; Gammaproteobacteria; Aeromonadales; Aeromonadaceae
Description: bacterial SSU rRNA
Rfam family: Bacterial small subunit ribosomal RNA
Source: RNAcentral
GGAAUAUUGCACAAUGGGGGAAACCCUGAUGCAGCCAUGCCGCGUGUGUGAAGAAGGCCUUCGGGUUGUAAAGCACUUUCAGCGAGGAGGAAAGGUUGGCGCCUAAUACGUGUCAACUGUGACGUUACUCGCAGAAGAAGCACCGGCUAACUCCGUGCCAGCAGCCGCGGUAAUACGGAGGGUGCAAGCGUUAAUCGGAAUUACUGGGCGUAAAGCGCACGCAGGCGGUUGGAUAAGUUAGAUGUGAAAGCCCCGGGCUCAACCUGGGAAUUGCAUUUAAAACUGUCCAGCUAGAGUCUUGUAGAGGGGGGUAGAAUUCCAGGUGUAGCGGUGAAAUGCGUAGAGAUCUGGAGGAAUACCGGUGGCGAAGGCGGCCCCCUGGACAAAGACUGACGCUCAGGUGCGAAAGCGUGGGGAGCAAACAGGAUUAGAUACCCCAG